GCGGCGACGGGGUAUUGGCGCGGUUCAAUUCGAGAGCCUGCGCCCCUCCGGAGGCAGGGGGGCUCUGCUCUCUGAUUGAGCCGUGCCAAUAUCACGUCGCCUUCG
Molecule: microRNA precursor, 105 nt
Filed under: Setaria italica (foxtail millet)
Lineage: Eukaryota; Viridiplantae; Streptophyta; Magnoliopsida; Poales; Poaceae
Also listed under: 1 other name
Source: RNAcentral